AGAGUUUGAUCAUGGCUCAGAUUGAACGCUGGCGGCAUGCCUUACACAUGCAAGUCGAACGGCAGCACGGGAGCAAUCCUGGUGGCGAGUGGCGAACGGGUGAGUAAUACAUCGGAACGUGCCCAGUUGUGGGGGAUAGCCCGGCGAAAGCCGGAUUAAUACCGCAUACGACCUGAGGGUGAAAGCGGGGGACCUGCAAGGGCCUCGCGCAGUUGGAGCGGCCGAUGUCAGAUUAGCUAGUUGGUGGGGUAAAGGCCUACCAAGGCGACGAUCUGUAGCUGGUCUGAGAGGACGACCAGACACACUGGAACUGAGACACGGUCCAGACUCCUACGGGAGGCAGCAGUGGGGAAUUUUCCGCAAUGGGCGAAAGCCUGACGGAGCAAUACCGCGUGAGUGAAGAAGGCCUUCGGGUUGUAAAGCUCUUUCGCAAGGGAAGAAACGAUACAGACGAAUAAUCUGUGUUAAUGACGGUACCUUGAUAAGAAGCACCGGCUAACUACGUGCCAGCAGCCGCGGUAAUACGUAGGGUGCGAGCGUUAAUCGGAAUUACUGGGCGUAAAGCGUGCGCAGGCGGUUUUGUAAGUCAGAUGUGAAAUCCCCGAGCUCAACUUGGGAACUGCGUUUGAAACUACAAGGCUAGAGUAUGGUAGAGGGGGGUAAAAUUCCACGUGUAGCAGUGAAAUGCGUAGAGAUGUGGAGGAAUACCAAUGGCGAAGGC
RNAcentral lists this ribosomal RNA (721 nucleotides) under uncultured bacterium. RNAcentral describes it as "bacterial SSU rRNA". It matches the Rfam family "Bacterial small subunit ribosomal RNA", at positions 8 to 722 of the family's 1533-position model. The record is from RNAcentral.